This 492-nucleotide ribosomal RNA is filed under the name uncultured bacterium. RNAcentral describes it as "partial 16S ribosomal RNA". It matches the Rfam family "Bacterial small subunit ribosomal RNA", at positions 29 to 507 of the family's 1533-position model. The record is from RNAcentral.
AGUGAACGCUGGCGGUAGGCCUAACACAUGCAAGUCGAACGGCAGCACAGUAAGAGCUUGCUCUUACGGGUGGCGAGUGGCGGACGGGUGAGGAAUACAUCGGAAUCUACUUUUUCGUGGGGGAUAACGUAGGGAAACUUACGCAAAUACCGAAUACGACCUACGGGUGAAAGAAGGGGAUCUUCGGACCUUGCGCGAUUGAUUGAGCCGAUGUCGGAUUAGCUAGUUGGCGGGGUAAAGGCCCACCAAGGCGACGAUCCGUAGCUGGUCUGAGAGGAUGAUCAGCCACACUGGAACUGAGACACGGUCCAGACUCCUACGGGAGGCAGCAGUGGGGAAUAUUGGACAAUGGGCGCAAGCCUGAUCCAGCCAUACCGCGUGGGUGAAGAAGGCCUUCGGGUUGUAAAGCCCUUUUGUUGGGAAAGAAAAGCAGCAGGUUAAUACCCCGCUGUUCUGACGGUACCCAAAGAAUAAGCACCGGCUAACUUCGUG